RNAcentral lists this ribosomal RNA (425 nucleotides) under Streptomyces sp. 043-2.2-CV-H05(h)-04. Its description in RNAcentral is "bacterial SSU rRNA". It matches the Rfam family "Bacterial small subunit ribosomal RNA", at positions 53 to 495 of the family's 1533-position model. The record is from RNAcentral. Lineage: Bacteria; Bacillati; Actinomycetota; Actinomycetes; Kitasatosporales; Streptomycetaceae.
ACAUGCAAGUCGAACGAUGAAGCCCUUCGGGGUGGAUUAGUGGCGAACGGGUGAGUAACACGUGGGCAAUCUGCCCUUCACUCUGGGACAAGCCCUGGAAACGGGGUCUAAUACCGGAUAACACUCCUGCCUGCAUGGGCGGGGGUUAAAAGCUCCGGCGGUGAAGGAUGAGCCCGCGGCCUAUCAGCUUGUUGGUGGGGUAAUGGCCCACCAAGGCGACGACGGGUAGCCGGCCUGAGAGGGCGACCGGCCACACUGGGACUGAGACACGGCCCAGACUCCUACGGGAGGCAGCAGUGGGGAAUAUUGCACAAUGGGCGAAAGCCUGAUGCAGCGACGCCGCGUGAGGGAUGACGGCCUUCGGGUUGUAAACCUCUUUCAGCAGGGAAGAAGCGAAAGUGACGGUACCUGCAGAAGAAGCGCCG